AGGAUCCUGCAUGAUGAGUCCCAAGGAGAGGAAAGCAGAAAGUGACCUCAAACCAUAGCCUCUCCCCACUCCUAGGUCCUGUACAUCCAGGCCUUUGUCCUUGUCUUCCUUCUGGGCAAGGUGAUGGGCAAGGUGUUCUUUGGGCAACUGAGGGCAGCAGAGAUGGAGCACCUUCUGGAACGUUCCUGGUACGCCGUCACAGAGACUUGUCUGGCCUUCACCGUUUUUCGGGAUGACUUCAGCCCCCGCUUUGUUGCACUCUUCACUCUUCUUCUCUUCCUCAAAUGUUUCCACUGGCUGGCUGAGGACCGUGUGGACUUUAUGGAACGCAGCCCCAACAUCUCCUGGCUCUUUCACUGCCGCAUUGUCUGUGAGUGAGAUUCAGGGGAGGGGAAGGGAGGACUGGAACGUGAACCGUGGACCUGUACUCCAGAGCACAGGCUACCCCCCACAGCUGUACAGGAAAGAUAAUUUA
This 475-nucleotide small RNA is filed under the name Pan troglodytes (chimpanzee). RNAcentral's name for it is "retained intron". The record is from RNAcentral. Lineage: Eukaryota; Metazoa; Chordata; Mammalia; Primates; Hominidae.